Molecule: non-coding RNA, 27 nt
Filed under: Homo sapiens (human)
Lineage: Eukaryota; Metazoa; Chordata; Mammalia; Primates; Hominidae
Source: RNAcentral
UGCAAGUUGUUGCUCCGCUUGUUGGAC